CUCGUGGAGUCUGUGGAAUCAUAUUUACCAUUUAUAAGAGAUGGUUAUGUAUCAUUGGAAAAAGGUGAAAAGAAAAUACCUGUGAAAGUACUUAGAGACACUGGUGCGUUUAAUUCUUUUAUUCAGGCGGAUGUAUUGCCUCUCCCUGAGCACACAGAGACGGACAACUGUAUUCCGGUGAGGGAUAUGGGUUUGAAUAUUUUGUUGGUUCCUCUCCACAGGGUGUUUUUGGAGUGCCAGCUUUUUUGUGGAGAGGCUUUGUUGGCGGUGCGACCUGCGUUACCUAUUGACGGGGUCUCGGUCAUUUUGGGUAAUGAUCUGGCGGGUUCCAGCAUGUGGGCAGAUGAAUCACCCACACCCUCAGUCGGCAGUGAGCCGGAGUCUCAAAACUUGGAUCGACAAGAGGAGAAUGAGCGUGAAUUGUCGAACGUUUUCACUGCUUGUGCUGUGACUCGAGCUAUGUCGCGCUCUCAAGUGAACGGUGACAAGGACGCGCAAGAGGAAAAUAAAGAUUACAAGUCCUUUUUGCCUCUUGCUGAUUUUCCAUUUCCUGUCACUAGUACUGAUUUGAUAACUGACCAACGUGCAGAUUCCUCAUUAAAAGAAUUAUUUCAACAGGUUCGUCCGGAGGGGGCUGUGUCAGACCACGAAGGUGCGUAUUUUCUUCGAAACUCUGUACUAAUGAGAAGAUGGGUGCCAUAUUUUGGUUCUGUGGAACAUGCGGUGUUUCAAGUGGUAGUUCCCUCUAAAUAUCGUGAGGCACUGUUGAAAGUAGCACAUGAUGAUUCUGGACAUGCUGGUGUAAAAAAAACAUAUGACCGAGUCCUUAGACAUUUUUUUUGGCCUCGUUUGAAGAGGGAUAUUUCCUCCUAUGUUAGGACAUGUCAUGUCUGUCAGCUAACUGCAAAGCCUAACCAACCUUUGAAACCCACUCCUUUAUUACCCAUCCCUGUUGCAACAGAACCGUUUGAGCACCUAAUCAUUGAUUGUGUGGGUCCCUUGCCAAGGUCGCGAUCUGGGGCUUGCUAUUUGUUAACUGUUAUGUGCCAAAGUACUCGAUAUCCGGCGGCUUACCCGUUACGCACGAUAACAGCAAAAUCUGUGGUGCGUGCUCUUUCUCAGUUCAUCUCUGUAUUUGGCAUUCCACAGACUAUUCAGUCGGAUCAAGGUACUAAUUUCUCUUCACGUCUUUUUGGUCAGGUGCUAAAACAGCUUCGUGUUAAACACAACAGAUCUACGGCUUACCAUGCAGAAAGUCAAGGAGCGUUGGAGCGUUUUCAUCAAACUUUAAAGUCAUUGCUCCGUGCUUAUUGUAUAGAACUGGGGAAGGAUUGGGAGGAUGGGUUGCCAUGGUUGAUGUUGGCUGCGCGGGAGGUUACUCAGGAGAGCAUAGGCUUUAGCCCAAAUGAGUUGGUGUUUGGACACACCGUUAAGGGUCCCUUAGCAGCUGUGGCGGCGGAGUGGAAAGAACCAGAACCACCCCAAAAUCUCAUUGACUAUGUGAACGGCUUUAGGCAUAGACUGUAUACAGCGCGGAAUUUGGCUAAGAAAAAAUUGUCUGUUAGCCAACAUAAAAUGAAAUCUUUGUUUGAUCGUCGAGCAGUGGAACGCUCGUUUUUGCCCGGGGAUCAGGUUUUGGCACUGUGUCCCAUUAUUUCAUCUCCUUUUCAAGCGAAGUUUUCCGGCCCGUAUACAGUGUUAAAGCGGCUCUCUGAUCAGAACUACCUCAUUGCAACGCCUGAGCGCAGAAAAACCACGCAGUUGUGCCACGUGAAUUUGCUAAAACCAUACUAUGCGCGAGAUCAGGUAAAAAAAUCUCCCGAGGACAUACACCCUGUUUGUGCGGUUAAUGAGGUUUGUAUGGCCACUUGUUCUAACGAGGAGACUGGUACCUUGGACAGCGCCAUGACACACGGGCGUCUUUCCAACUCGGAGUCGCUGCAGAAAUUGGAUGUGUUAUUAUCACAUCUUUCUGAACAUCGUUCAAAACAGUUGAGUGAGCUGAUUUAUAGCUUCCCGGGUUUGUUUUCUGAUACUCCUGGGCGUACAACUUGGUUGGAACAUGAUAUUGAUGUGGGUCAGGUGAGUCCCAUAAAACAACAUUUUUAUCGGGUAAACAUGGAGAAACGAAAAUGUCUUGAUGCAGAAGUGAAAUAUAUGUUGGAUAAUGGGAUAGCUGAGCCAUCUUCGUCUAGUUGGGCAUCUCCCUGCAUUUUGGUUCCUAAACCGGAUAAUACAUUCCGUUUUUGUUCAGACUAUAGAAAAUUAAAUGCCGUUACAAAGCCUGAUUCAUUUCCACUUCCUAGAAUGGAUGAUUGUGUGGAUCAAGUUGGUUCGGCUAAAUUCGUUAGCAGGUUUGACUUGCUUAAAGGGUACUGGCAAGUUCCUCUGACAAAACGUGCGCAGGAGUUAGCUGCGUUUGUUACUCCUUCUGGGUUGUAUUCAUACACAGUUAUGCCGUUUGGACUUCGGAAUGCACCCGCUACUUUUCAACGAUUAAUGAAUUAUGUGGUGGGUGAUAUGCCAGGUUGCGCGGUGUAUUUAGAUGACGUAGUGAUUUAUUCUGAUACUUGGGAACAACACAUGGAGCGCAUUCACGACUUGUUUACUCGCUUGUCGGUGGCAGGACUUACAAUUAAUCUUGCUAAGUGUGAGUUUGCGAAAGCAACCGUAACAUACCUCGGCCAUGUAGUUGGGCAGGGUCAAGUGCGCCCAGUCGCAGCCAAGGUGCAAGCAGUACUGAACUUUCCUGUUCCUGUUACAAAAAAGGAUCUCAUGCGUUUUCUUGGUCUGGUCAGUUAUUAUCGUUGUUUCUGUAAAAACUUUUCUUCGGUAGUAGCCCCAUUAACCAACUUGCUUUCUAAGGAUGCCAAGUUUGACUGGUCUCCUUCUUGUCAGCAUGCGUUUGAGCAGGUAAAGCAGCUUCUCUGUUGUGCUCCGGUUUUGGCUGCCCCACGCUUGAGUGUUCCUUUUCAGCUCAAUGUGGAUGCCAGUUAUGUGGGUGCAGGUGCAGUUUUGACACAAAUAGAUGACCAGGGAAAUUGCAAGCCAGUCAGUUAUUUUUCAAAAAAAUUUAACAAACAUCAAUUGAAUUACUCUGUGAUCGAAAAGGAGACACUUGCUUUAAUCCUGGCCUUGCAGCACUUUGAUGUUUACUUGGGGGGUGGUGCUCCUAUUGUUGUAUAUACGGAUCAUAAUCCGCUUACAUUUUUGACGACGUUAAAAUGUCCUAAUCAACGUUUGGUUCGUUGGUUGCUCUUUUUGCAGUCUUUUUUUUUGGAUAUACGGUACAUAAAAGGACGAGAUAAUGUAGUUGCUGAUGCGCUUUCUCGUGCCCCUGUAUGGUAAACGACAAUGCAUCUUAGAUUUGGAUGAUUUUUAUUUAUUUAUUUAUUUAUUUAUUUAUUUUUUUGGGUUUCCCUUGUGGGAACCCAUGUUUUGUGGGUGGGGGUGUGACGUCCGUCAGUUAUUGUGUUUUGUCCUGAGGCGGAGCAGAAGGGGCGGGACCAGGAUUCGCCAGGCCCAGCGCGUCCUCGGGAUAUAAGCAGUCUGCUUCAGCGCGUGGGGAAGAGAGGACAGGAGCUGAAUCUGGCUUGGGGCUGAGCCGGCUUCUCCACCCAGCUUGAUUCUACAGAGGGCUUAUCCGUGGAGCAAUGACACCGACCACACGGGGGGAGGGGCACCCGCUUGUCGAUGCUGGUCCUGUUUAUUUGCUUGGAUUGUACAAUAAAGACUGUACUCUUUUAUUGAGG
Xiphophorus hellerii (green swordtail) is the source of this 3752-nucleotide RNA transcript. RefSeq lists it as uncharacterized. The record is from RefSeq and is a predicted model, not a curated record. The transcript has 2 exons. Lineage: Eukaryota; Metazoa; Chordata; Actinopteri; Cyprinodontiformes; Poeciliidae.